UGAUUAUAUAAGUAGGAACAG
Molecule: non-coding RNA, 21 nt
Filed under: Caenorhabditis elegans
Lineage: Eukaryota; Metazoa; Nematoda; Chromadorea; Rhabditida; Rhabditidae
Source: RNAcentral